UGCAGGAAGGUUUCCACAGAGAUUUAUUUUAAACCAUGGAGGCAGCUUUGCAUUGAGAGUCUUACACUGGUAAUGGCUACAUACGGUUUCGGUUAGAGGGAAGCUCAGUGGGAAAGUGAGCAGAGUUUAAAAACAUUCACAACAUUCAGCAGCAUUUGAAGGUAGAACUGGAUACAGACAUUUUAACAUUGUAAGAAAUUCUUGCUCAAUCCCACCUAGUCACAUUCAGGAAGUCAAUAUCCAGACUGCUCGGUCUGGUUGUGGACCGCUGUGGCAGAGAGCAUGGCACUGCCGGGAGGAUCCAGCUAGAACCACAUCUGAGAAGUCUGUUCCAGCUUCGGGUUUAUUACAUUCUCAGCCUGACCCCUUGGGGAAUCUCAUUUCAAAAAGAAAGAAAAAGAUAUUGAUAAAGUAACAUGCCCGCUGCAGCUGCCGACGGAUGGCGUGCAGCAUGGAAGAGUCCAUGUCCCUGGUUAUGGAUAAGGUGGUAGGCAGGCACGAACGUGGGGCUAGCACCUUCCCUGUUGUCCAGUUAAUAAGUUUUUGUACUUUUCAUAUAAGAUUUUCUUUUGAAAAUGACAGUACACUGAAAAAAAGUUAUUUAAAAAGCAAGGCAAAUGGCGUAAAACACAAAUAUACAAGAGUACAAUGGUUACCAGUGACACAAGUGUUUUGGUCCAUACUUCAAAUGGGCAUAUGCUACUGAUAUAAGGCUGACAUCCAUUUAAAUGGGGAAAAAAGUGUAUAUAAGUGAAAUACUUUUUUCAAACCAUUUUCCCUUUUUGUGUUAUAGUUCACUCUCUCAUAUUUCUCAGAGAACCAAGGAAAAAAAAAAAAGGAGGAAAGAAUCAUAAAUAUCAAGGUCAGAUUCUAAAUCUAACGUUUAAACCAUCCUGCAGUUCUCUCACACUUUCUCUCCCAAGAAAGUCAGAUACACGUUUUGACUCACAAAGGUGAACAUUUUGAGGUAUCUAUUUUUAAAGAGAUGGUACCAUGAUUAACUUCCACGUUCACCAUCUUUUUCAAACCUACUAGGCUUUAGAUGGAAAAAUGCAGAAAGAAACUUACUAGAUAUGACAGAAGACAAAGGCAUUGCGACAUGCUCUCAUGUAUCCCAGGAAGUCAGCCACAUGUGGGUCGCUCGCUGGUAAUGGUUUAGGCCAGUCCAAUAAUAAACAACAUUCACGGAAUCACAGGAUCACAGGAUCGGAAGGGAUCUUAAGAACAAUCAUCGAAGUCAACCCUUAUUCAAGCUGUCACCUCCUUCCCACAUCUCUGACGAGGGGCUUUCUGCUGUGUAUUCAAACACUGCCUGGUAUGGGAAACACAGAGGAGGAAUCCCACUCCAAUUUCGGACAGAUCUAAUUUUCAGACACUGCUUUCAUGUGUUAGGCCUCUUGGUGGAAAUGAUAACGUUUAAAGGCAAAAAUACAAACUAAAAACCCAGAGGGUUGGUAUGUAUAUAGUUCUUGGUUAUAAAGUUGAGCUAAAGUUUAAAAAUAAACAUGGAUGUUCCUCAAUUAAGUUAUGGAUAUAUGAUACUUGAGUAGUGAAAGACAAAGGCAAAUGGAUGGAAUAGCAAGAACCAGAAAGCCCAAGCCCUGAGGGGGGAUGGUGGGAUGUCCCUGCCUUGGCAGAGCCAGGUCUCUGAGGCAGUGGCUGCCGGAGCCUUUUUACUGACACCGAAUGGAGAAAAAGGUUUCCACCUACUAGGCGAGUGCCACUGUGAUGAGGAUUUAUCACAUUUACCACUUGGUACUGAAAUGACCCAUUACUUGAAAGGACGAUUUAAGGCCGAGAGAGAAAUGGAGGGCAGCAGCUGCCUGCUUAUGUACCAAAAGGCUGAUGCUGCUUAUUAGUGUAAGGCCACAGUUGUCCAGAACAAUCUUCCCCUGCCACAGGUCAAGGCCUUAAGCCUGGCUCACCUGUGUAAUUGUGGAAUUAUUAUGUAAGUUCUUCCAGGCCAAGUGUGUGCAUGCAGUGAUCGCUAGCUCUACCUCAUGGCCUCGAGUGAGGGGCUAUGCACCCAGAAAGUUUUAAAGUUAGUUACCAUGGGUCAUUUUAAGAUAACAAUUCCAGGUACUUCCAAAGAAAAAGAAACUGAUACUAGCCUCAGCUGUAGGUAAACAUGACUCUCAAACUAAUGAGCCUCUGAGUGGACCUGUCACGGCAGACCGUGUGCUGCCGCCCUCUCCGUGGUCAUGAGCAUCCGAGCGUCACAGUGACAAGAGCUCAGGCUCCAGGACUGCAGCUGAGUGCUUGAUAUUCUCUGGCAACUCCAGACCACUUGUGGUCCCUGAGCACCAGGCUGAUGCUAGAUCUUGGGCCUUUAUUUAUGCUGUUUCUGCAGCCUGGAAAAUCACACCCUUACUUGACUCACUCCAACGCAGCUCAGAACUCCUUGCCUCUAUGAAACCCCUCUGGCCCCACCCAUGCGGGACCGCACGCAUACCUCCAUCACUGAAUUUACCACGUGAUACUGAAAUGAUCUCUGCAUGCCCUCUGCCCAUACCAGGGAAGGGACCUCGUCAUCCCAGGGCCUAGUUCAAAGCCUGGUAGAUGGUGGGCACUCAACAAAUGGUUGAACUGGACUAGAAUCUCAAGGAUCAACUAGGAAACUCAGUGUUCAAAAUGGACUUAAUUUCUGUGUUUUUCAGUCAGGUUGCUGGAUAUCCACUUCCACAUCAGGAAAAAUUUAAGUUAACAUUAUUUUAAAGGAGAGAAAAAGAAGAAUGUUUUGACAAAAUUCUUGCUUUGACUUUAAAAUAUAAAUCUUGGUGGACAAGGUCACUUACAUACAAUUAAACUACUACGACAAAGCAAAACCAAAGGAAUCUCAUUUGAUGAAUACUUAUGUCCAGUAACUUUGAUACAUAGUUUAGAGCUUUCCCUUUGCUUAGAAGUCAAAAUUCAGGUUUAAAAAUUGAUUGUUAAGCAAAAAUAAAUUAUACUUUUAAAAAAUGAAUCUCAAAACAUGAGAAGGUGAUGUUCCUAAGAAGGGCAAAUGCUGCAGGCGCAGAGACUCACUCCAGGCCAGCCUUCACACAACAGGGUAGGGUGCAUUCAGUGCCCCUGGAUUUCCACUUAAAUGUUGCCACUGGGAUGGUCUCUGGGGAAGACCACAAGAACGAGUUAAUGCUGAGGAAGACCUGCAAUAAUUGACUCAUUGCAUAGUAUCCACACACUCCUAACUACAGGGCUGCGGCCAAAAGAAGUGUCAAAUUCGCUUAUGAUAAGAGGAGCAGACCUGGUUCCUGAGAGCUCCCUGUCUCAAGGCAGUGCAAGUCUCUCCUCCCACUCAUGCCAUUGCCAGCUAAUGUUCAAAAACAACUGUUCCUUGAAAAUUCUUCUUUUAGAUUCUCUUGUUUACACCUCAGCUAUAUCUAACUGCCUGGCAUGACUAAAGUGUUUUGUGCUUGGAACAUCCUACAUCUCUGAAGAUCCCUUCCAGUUUUGUGAUUUUAUGAUUCUUUGAACAAUUCAAACAAUCAAAUGAGAAAUACAUCAUGGUUGAUUGACCUCAUAUAAAAAGACACACGAUUCCAAGUAUUUUAUCUAAAACCACUUUUGCUACUGUGGAGACACAUCCAGGCAGUUUAAAGUUGCAGCAAUAUCAUUUCUUUGGAGAAACUGAGAGCAUGCGAUUGGUCUUAUCCUACCAAAUAAAGGACAACCACGUGUGCGGUCUGUGCAGUCUUGCCGCUUUCCCAAUGUAGCCACGUUAGGCAUCACUUGCCAGAGCUGCUGUAUGUUGAAGUAAUAGAGCAAAAUUUAUGUAAAGUGCAAUUCCAACAUCAGCACAUGUCUCUCUCUGAGUCAGAAAAAUGGUGGAGAUACUCAAUGUAAAACUCAAGAAUUCACAGUAUUAUAAACACACAGUUGGCUUGCUUAGCGCUUCUCUCCAAAUUCAAGCACUCCCACAGAUGAGGAGAAAGAUAAGGGCAGCGUGAUGGAUACCUUGACACAUCUGUGGUUUUUUGAUCAUGACUCUCAUCACCAAUGAGGUGUCAAGUGGUUUCAACCUCUAAGUGGCUCUGUGGCCUGGGGAGCUAUGGUGGGAGGGAGAUGGCUGGAGAGAAGUGCAGGGUCCCAGACCAGAGCAAUCACGGUGUAGACAGGUGAUCCAGUGGGGACAAUCAGUUUCCCCAAUGGGGUCUGAGCUCACCUAGACCCAACCCAGACCCACGUCAGGCGGCUGGGCGCCUCAUCUACUGCCUCCCUGACACUGUGUUUCCCUGUCUGUGUACAGGCUGUGCGCCAAAGUUCAGGAAGGGAAAACAGAGCGAUUC
This 4289-nucleotide long non-coding RNA is filed under the name Equus asinus (donkey). RNAcentral describes it as "lncRNA (ENSEASG00005036485.1)". Lineage: Eukaryota; Metazoa; Chordata; Mammalia; Perissodactyla; Equidae. The record is from RNAcentral.